CCGGCUGUGAAUGUGAAGUUCGCCUGUUCGGCGACCUGCCUCUUUUUAUCUCUUCCUUUCUUUUGCGGAGGCAACUUGGCUAGUUGAGCGCCCGGCCUAUUCUUCCGUUUCUUCUGCAUUUCUACACGGCACCAGUACACUAUCGGACUAGCGCAAGCUUUAACGUGGAUGAAAACACGGGACUAUUUUCAGCAGGGCUCUCACUUGUGCGUGCUUUGCCUCCGUAGCUCUCCCUCCAUGGCCACAGAAAGCUAUCAGCGAGUAUAGACGGAGGAGGAAUCAAGCAAGCCGUGCCUUAAGGUCACAUGGCAUUUAUGCAUGCAAAUGAGAACUCGUUUCAGGACACGAACAAGCAAUAAUAUGUAUCAGCGCAUCAACAAAAAAGGUAAGUACCGGUACCAUUAAAUACAGCUGCUCUGCAAAUUCUCUUUGCGUUAAGAGAAGCAUAGUUGCUUUCUACGUGACUACUGACCUUCGUAAUCUAUAUCGUGGGAAGCGUGUCAUCGUUAAGUCACCAUACAACAGCCUUGCCAGCUCGGUUGUGUAGUUGCUGUACGAAAUUUAAUUUUCGUUAAAUUAAAGAGAAUGUUUGCAAUGACGAGACAUCUCGGACGACUGGUGUGAUAAUUGUCGGGUCGUUAUGCCUAUACCAUUUGAGUUGGUGCACACACAAAAUAAAUACUAGCUGAAACAUACAACAACAAAAAAAAACAUACAAACGAAAACCAACAAGAAGUGGGGGAGGAGAAAGCUGUCACGUUAGAGUAGAAAGGAGGCAUCGUGAAAGUUUGCAUGAUUGAAACCUGAACCGGAAGUAACAGAAGGGAAGGCCAAAAGGAAAACGACUGAGAAGCUGCUCCCGAACAGCGUGAGCCUUGUAAACAAUUGUCAGAGCACAUCAAAUACAACACGUCGAAAGAAAAGCGGAAGAGCAGGAAAUGAGUGUUGGCACCACAUCGACCUUCUGCGCGGUUUGUGUGUCUGCUCCAUUCUUGCGAAGAGAAGCAAAUCCCAGAUGUGUAUAGACAGGGCCAGAAUAGGCCCAA
This is a long non-coding RNA of Dermacentor andersoni, 1046 nucleotides long. RefSeq lists it as uncharacterized. Lineage: Eukaryota; Metazoa; Arthropoda; Arachnida; Ixodida; Ixodidae. The record is from RefSeq and is a predicted model, not a curated record.